RNAcentral lists this long non-coding RNA (3761 nucleotides) under Manihot esculenta (cassava). RNAcentral's name for it is "long non-coding RNA (MESC_LNC001187)". The record is from RNAcentral. Lineage: Eukaryota; Viridiplantae; Streptophyta; Magnoliopsida; Malpighiales; Euphorbiaceae.
AACUAUUUCAGUCCAUACAAGGUCUUCUUCAGUCUGCAUAUCUUUCCUUAUAUUUUUUCAUCGGCAAAUUCAAAGGGAUUUCCUCUUAUCUUCUAAAUUUCCUGGAGACAUGUAUUUUUCACAUCAAACUGCUAUAGGUCCCAAUCAAGAUGGUUGCGUAUUGUCACGGUUUCAGAUUUUGGCCUGGAACCGUGUGGCACUUGGUUUGAACUCUUUUCAAGCCAAGUCAGCCAAGCUCUCUACGCGUUUACCUGGACAAAGGAACGUAAAGGUUAGGACCUCCUGCCCCAUUCUCGUAAAAACGGAGAAUACCACAGUUACCAUAUGAAAAUAUCAUGAUCGGAUAAUUAUAGCAACUAAAAGCACAUCAACAAGCAACCAAGCACCGAGAUUUAUUGAAUAGGCUACUUAUUUUAUUCCAGGGACAAAAUAGUCAUUACACAGUCAUGUCAAUGAUCCAUUCCCAACUUGCAGACAGGGGGGAACGCCUGCAAGAAGAGAAGGCACAAUCCAGGGACUCAACAAGCCUACGGUGGCCAGUCGGGCCCAGCCCUUGCUGGUGGCCAACUAGUCACUCCCCCCUAAAGAGCCUUAAGAACAAGUAGAACUAUGAUGGGAGGAGACAUCAAUAUGUCUGAGGUGACACCCCCCCUUUUAUAAACAAAUAAAAAGGAAUUACAAAAAACUGACACGGCCCUUUUCUUCCUACUAAUUUCUACUAAUUUAUCCCAAUAUUGUUUUCUAAGAAUUCCACUAUUGGAAAAUUACAGUUUUGGUCCCUGAAACUCUAUGACCCUGACACUCCCCCACUUAAAUGGUCGACGUCCUCGUCGACUGAGCGUUAAUGAAGUCCACUAUCUUGUGUGCAUAUGCCUGUAGACUUGACUCCUCCCAACUGAUUUCUUCAACACCAAGGCCGUUCCACUUGACAAGGUACUCUUUGUGUGAUGGAUGCCUGGUGGACUUGACGAUUCGUUCCGCUAUGAUUUCUUCAACUCCUUGAUUGACAGGUGGUGCGCGGGUUACUGCUGGUCGUGACGUCAUGUUACGGCUUGCAUUUGACUCAUCGGCAUAAUAUGGCUUCAAUUUGCUCACGUGAAAUACUGGGUGGACUGUCAUCCACUUCGGAGGUUCGAUUCUGUAAGCAGCAUGUCCAAUCUUGGCAACUACUGGUACUGGUCCUUCAUACUUCCGGACUAAUCUUUUGUCACGGUUGUGGAGGAAUCUCAGCUGCUCUGGCAAUAGCUUCACCAUCACUAAGUCACCGACUGUGAACUCCUGCGGGUGCAGGUUCUCAUCUGCCCAUUUCUUCAUAUGACUCUUAGCUUUCUCCAACUGAGCGCGGGCAAGCUCCACAUUUUGUCUCCACUCCUUACUGAAUUGGAAUGCUUUUAGAUUGCGACUUGAAUAAGGCCCAUCUACAUUAUAAGGUGCCAACAGUUGUUGACCUGUCACAAUCUCAAAAGGACUUUUGUUAGUAGUAGAGCUCUGUAAAGAAUUAAAACAAAAUUGAGCAAUAUCAAGGAGGGAAACCCAAUUCUUCUGGCUAGCACUAACAAAGUGUUGUAGGUACUCCUCCAACAUUCCAUUAACUCUCUCCGUUUGUCCAUCCGUUUGAGGAUGGUAACUUGAGGACAUCGCCAGGUUGGUGCCCAACAACUUGAACAACUCCGACCAAAAUGACCCUGUAAAUCUUGCAUCACGGUCACUAACUAUGCUCUUUGGGAUUCCCCAGUAUUUUACAACAUGCUUGAAAAAUACUUUAGCAGUCUCCUUUGCCGAGCAAUAUUUUGACACCGGCACGAACGUGGCAUAUUUGGAAAACCUGUCGACAACCACCAAAAUGUGAUCAAAUUCCCCCACUCGUGGGAGUCCAGCUAUAAAGUCAAUGGAAACACUUUCCCAUGGCCUACUCGGCACUGGUAAUGGCUGUAACAACCCUACUGGUUUUUGUCUGUUCGCCUUAUCCUGUUGACAAACCAAACAAGUCUUUGUAUACUCUUGGACGUCAUUCGCCAUUUUUGGCCAAAAGUACCCUUGCUUCAGAAGUGCUAAAGUACGCUGCCACCCUGAAUGGCCAGCCCACCUAGCGUCAUGACAUUCCUUUAAUAACAAACUUCGAAGUCCUCCUGCUUUGGGAACAUAGAUUCUGCUCCCUCUUGUCAUGAUCAAGUCCGCUUCUAACCAAAAUUGCCUAGUUUUGCCGUUGUCCACUAGUUUCCUCAAGGCCAUGGCUUAGGGAUCCUUUUGUAACUCUUCUCGAAUCCUUUCUUUCAACGUUGACUUUGCUACGCUCUGGGAUAAUUGAGCUAUCUGCUUAGCAGACGAGUUGGAAUAAUCCUCUAGGCCCUCAGCUGCCGCUAUAGCUGCAUUGACUUCUGUCACCUUCUGUCUCCUUAAUUCAUUCUUGGCCCAAGGUUUCAACCCUUUCAUAAAGUUGUAAAAUCGAUCCUCCUCCAGCAUGUUCUCUAUGUUUAGCAUGAGACGUGAGAAGUCCCUCACGUAAUCUCGAACCGAACCUGUUUGUUGUAGCUCUCCCAAUUUGCACCGUGCAUCAUAUGCCACAUUCUCCGGACAAAAUUGAGCUCUUAACUCUUUGGCAAACAUGUCCCACGAUGUAACUUGGUUUGCCCCCGGCCCCGCUCUCACUAUUUUAUUACGCCACCACAAUUUAGCAUCAUCAACCAAGUACAAGGGUAAGAUCAACAGCUUGUCCUCCUCGGACUCUCGCUUGGUAACACUAAAGAACAACUCCAUGUCAAAAAGAAAAUUGUCUACUUCUUUUGCAUCCCUAGUUCCGCCAAAAGCUUUCGGCUCCGGGACCUUUGUCCUCUCUGCCCCACAAGUUUUCAUGUCAUUGCUCCCCGUAACUUUCAUAAUUGUGUUCACCCUCGCAUCAAGCUCCUCCAGUUUACCUUGGAACGUGUUCAUCAUCUCUUUGACAUUAUCAUUGAUCGUAUCGAUGGUCUCCUUAGCACCAUCUCUAAUCUCUUCGACAACCCCUACAAAAGAGGUAUGAGCAUCAGAAACAGAUUUGAGACUUUCCAUUAUGCCUCCCACUUGAGAGGCCACUGCCUCCCAUUCUGUCAUUUAGGACUCCAGAUCACCCCACCGGGUGUCCUUCGCUUGAAAAGGAUUUUGGGUGGCCUCAAGCUCUAUUGGCUUACCCUCACCUUUAGGCGAUUUAGCCCUCUUAGCCAAUCGCCGUUCAUUUUCUUUCUCUAGCGCCUCAAUGCGCUUAUAAGCAGAAUCAAACUCCAAUACCAUCCCCUCUUGGGUGGCAUAGUCCCUCAAUAGAGCAACAAUGUUCUCAACCCUUCUCUCAAGGGCAUCAAUGCGUGUGGUAGAUUUUGUCAUACCUCCACACUAUUCUCGAUCGUUCUGGCUUUGAUACCAAUUGUCACAGUUUCAGAUUUUGACACUGGCCUGGAACCGUGUGGCACUUGGUUUGAACUCUUUUCAAGCCAAGUCAGCCAAGCUCUCUACGCAUUCACCUGGACAAAGGAACGUAAAAGUUAGGACCUCCUGCCCCAUUCUCGUAAAAACGGAGAAUACCACAGUUACCAUAUGAAAAUAUCAUGAUCGGAUAAUUAUAGCAACUAAAAGCACAUCAACAAGCAACCAAGCACCGAGAUUUAUUGAAUAGGCUACUUAUUUUAUUCCAGGGGCAAAAUAGUCAUUACACAGUCAUGUCAACGAUUCAUUCCCAACUUGCAGACAGGGGGGAACGCCUGCAAGAAGAGAAGGCACAAUCCAGGGAC